Aspergillus heteromorphus CBS 117.55 is the source of this 154-nucleotide non-coding RNA. Lineage: Eukaryota; Fungi; Ascomycota; Eurotiomycetes; Eurotiales; Aspergillaceae. The record is from the annotation of a RefSeq genome assembly.
GGCAAGGUGGUCGAGUGGUUAAGACGUAAGACUGUAUGUAUUACCGGCGUCCUUCAGCCAUCAAAUUAAUGCUAAUAAUUCCUCCCAAGUGAAUCCAUCAAUUGGAAGACAUCUUAUCCCUUAGGGGUCGCGCGUUCAAAUCGCGUCCUUGUCG